Molecule: ribosomal RNA, 593 nt
Filed under: Polaromonas sp. HRRK155
Lineage: Bacteria; Pseudomonadati; Pseudomonadota; Betaproteobacteria; Burkholderiales; Comamonadaceae
Also listed under: 5 other names
Description: bacterial SSU rRNA
Rfam family: Bacterial small subunit ribosomal RNA
Source: RNAcentral
ACGGGUGAGUAAUAUAUCGGAACGUGCCCAAUCGUGGGGGAUAACGUAGAGAAAUUUACGCUAAUACCGCAUACGAUCUAAGGAUGAAAGCGGGGGAUCGCAAGACCUCGCGCGAUUGGAGCGGCUGAUAUCAGAUUAGGUUGUUGGUGAGGUAAAAGCUCACCAAGCCGACGAUCUGUAGCUGGUUUGAGAGAACGACCAGCCACACUGGGACUGAGACACGGCCCAGACUCCUACGGGAGGCAGCAGUGGGGAAUUUUGGACAAUGGGCGAAAGCCUGAUCCAGCAAUGCCGCGUGCAGGAAGAAGGCCUUCGGGUUGUAAACUGCUUUUGUACGGAACGAAACGGCUCUUUCUAAUAAAGAGGGCUAAUGACGGUACCGUAAGAAUAAGCACCGGCUAACUACGUGCCAGCAGCCGCGGUAAUACGUAGGGUGCGAGCGUUAAUCGGAAUUACUGGGCGUAAAGCGUGCGCAGGCGGUUAUAUAAGACAGUUGUGAAAUCCCCGGGCUCAACCUGGGAAUUGCAUCUGUGACUGUAUAGCUAGAGUACGGUAGAGGGGGAUGGAAUUCCGCGUGUAGCAGUGAAAUGCGU